GUCGCCUUAUUUCCAGACUGACGUAACUCGAUUUUUCGAAAAUAUGGAGUGUUUGGUAUCAUUUUUUUCUGCUCGUCGAGCUCUAGAUGAUGAGACUAUAAGUGUCCCUAUAGAACGUCUAUAAAUGUGUUUAAUUUCAGUUCCAUACUGACGCAUGUCGGGUUUUUGGCUUUCAGUUGAUUUCCAGAGUGACGUUAAAAAUCAACCAAUCGCGUUGUUUUAUUUGGUCGCCAUCUUGGAUUUAGAGCAAUGGCUGUGUUAGAUUUGUGCAGUGACAACAAGUGGAUUUUCUUUAGAAAAACUAGUCGUGCUAGUUGUAUUGUACAAAUAUGCUGAAUUUCGAUGUGCUUCCAGAUGAACUAAUACUGAAUGUUUUCAUAUACACUGACCUACAACACCUUCUCCAGUCUGUAAAUAGAGUGUGUCAUAAGUUCAACGAUGUGAUAAAGAAGCACUCAAUACUAUGGUGCCAUUUCGAGUUUCCUGAACAACUGGAAUUGAAUAAAACCAAUUUGGAAAAUAUUCUGUCUCAUUCUGUGAGGAUUGUUGAUCUGUUCAUGCCAUGUACUGUUUUUAAAUGUAAAAUACCAGAAAUCGACAAAGUGUUUGCUGCAUCCAUGUUUACGUACUUGGACCACCUAAAUAUCAGUGAAGCUCCGAUUUCAACGCUUUGUUGGUUAUACAAUGCACCAAAUAUUCGUGUAUUAGACCUCUCAGGUUGCAGUCUUCUCGUUGAUGAAGAUUUGCGCUUAUUACUGCAUUUGGCAUGAAGCUAUUAGUGGUAGAGGAGCAAACGAUACUGCCAGUGCAGUAGUUACAAUCCUCAAAGAUAUUAAACGUGUUCACGCUGAAAUUACUUCAUUCAUAUUGUGGUCUGAUGCAUGUGUUCCUCAGAACAAGAACUCUGUUAUGUCGUUUGCACUCAAGAGAUUCAUGGAGGACAAUAAUAUUGAGUCAAUGUACAAAAAUUUUGUGCUUUGAAGUAUGCUUUAAAAGCCAAUGUGACAGAAUGUUUUGCGUUUGACUUGUUGCUAAGACUUUUUCUGAAAAUGUGUGUCUUUUAGUGGUUACCAGUUUGGUAUGUUUGUGAUUGACAUUUUGCAAAACUCUUUUGGUUAGUCUUUAAAUCCAAUGUUUUCAAGGAGGUGACAGUUUAAAAAUUGUACACAAUGUACUCUGAUUGUACACAAUCAUAAUCAACAUACAUUAUUCUAGACAAUAAUGGUGUUUAGUCCGUUUUACAUGUACCAGUUAAAUCUGUUUUGUGUUAGACUUUUUGCAAAGACAUUGUGAGGUAAAUUUAUAUGUGUUUUGAACAGUUUUAAAAGUUUAAUAUGUUUGUGUUUGACUUCUUGAAGAGACUUAUUAUGAUAAGUACACGCUAUGAACAUUUUAACUGGACAGACAAACAGUUUUUUAUUGACAUUAUAUUUUUUUCGAUAGUUAAAAGUGGGUGAUUUAAGCAGUAUUCAUACUUGAAUCUAGAAAUUAAUGAAUAUGAAGAACUUGUAUGAUACUAUCAAAAUAUCAAUUUGCGCUUUUGAUUAUGCUUUAGAACUAAAGUAUCAGGUAAGGUGACUGGUUUUAGUACACAUUAUCAAUAGUGUAAUUAUGCUCUUAAUAUUUUAACUUUUUAUACAAGUUUCCAUGUUUUGUUUCAGACUUUUGGCAAUUACUUUUUAAGAUAAAUAAUUAUGUGCUUCGAACAAUUUUGUUUUGAAUUCCAAUACAAAGUGUUUAUAAUUUCUCUAUUGACCAUUCAAUAUCUCAGUAUAUCAGAGAGAUGGAUUUUUAAUAAAACUACUUAAUACUUACCAAUGCAUCAUGUUAAGUAAAAUAAUAAUCCCAUUCAGUGGAUACUAUUAUUUAAUUGAAUUUUCAAUUCAAAAUUUAACUAAGAAAGGUUUCAUCUCUGAAUUUUAUUUUUUUUAAAUAUCAAAACGUUUAUAUAAUAAUGUGCACUGUUUUAUUGUUUCUGGAAUAAAGUUACGUCAAAAUUA
Mercenaria mercenaria is the source of this 2000-nucleotide long non-coding RNA. RefSeq lists it as uncharacterized. NCBI's taxonomy places the organism in Eukaryota, Metazoa, Mollusca, Bivalvia, Venerida, Veneridae. The transcript is spliced from 2 exons. The record is from RefSeq and is a predicted model, not a curated record.